AUUCAAUAUUCAGGUAUUCAAUGUACAGAUAUUCAAUGUGCAGAUAUUCAAUGUACAGAUAUUCAAUACACAGAUACUCAAUAUACAGAUAUUCAAUAUACAGAUAUUCAAUACACAGAUAUUCAAUAUUCAGAUAUCCAAUGUACAGAUAUUCAAUAUUCAGAUAUUCAAUGUGCAGAUAUUCAAUACACAGAUAUUCAAUAUACAGGUACUCAAUGUGCAGAUAUUCAAUGUACAGAUAUUCAAUAUACAGAUAUUCAAUGUGCAGGUAUUCAAUGUACAGAUAUUCAAUAUACAGAUAUUCUAUAUACAGAUAUUCAAUGUGCAGAUAUUCAAUGUACGGAUAUUCCAUGUACAGAUAUUCAAUGUACAGAUAUUCGAUAUACAGAUAUUCAAUAUACAGGUAUUUAAUAUUCAGAUAUUCAAUGUACAGAUAUUCAGUGUGCAGAUAUUCAAUACGCAGAUAUUCAAUACACGGAUAUUCAAUGUGCAGAUAUUCAAUACACGGAUAUUCAAUAUUCAGAUAUUCAGUGUACAGAUAUUCAAUACUCAGAUAUUCAAUACACAGAUAUUCAAUAUACAGAUACUCAAUACACAGAUAUUCAAUAUUCAGAUAUUCAAUGUACAGAUACUCAAUGUACAGAUAUUCAAUGUGCAGAUAUUCAAUGUACAGAUAUUCAAUUCACAGAUAUUCACUGUACAGAUAUUCAAUACACAGAUAUUCAAUAUACAGAUACUCAAUACACAGAUAUUGAAUGUACAGAUAUUUAAUACACAGAUAUUCAAUAUACAGAUAUUGAAUAUACAGAUACUCAAUGUACAGAUAUUCAAUAUACAGAUAUUCAAUAUACAGAUAUUCAAUGUACAGAUAUUCAAUGUACAGAUAUUCAAUAUACAGAUAUUCAAUGUACAAUACACAUAUUUUUACUACGACUCCUACUAUAUUGCUUAUCAGGGCAAGGCCUGUAUAGAGAUAUUCAAUGUACAGAUAUUCAAUGUACAGAUAUUCAAUACACAGAUAUUGAAUAUACAGAUAUUGAAUAUAC
RNAcentral lists this long non-coding RNA (1046 nucleotides) under Zonotrichia albicollis (white-throated sparrow). RNAcentral's name for it is "lncRNA (ENSZALG00000001795.1)". Lineage: Eukaryota; Metazoa; Chordata; Aves; Passeriformes; Passerellidae. The record is from RNAcentral.